This 253-nucleotide ribosomal RNA is filed under the name uncultured bacterium. RNAcentral describes it as "partial 16S ribosomal RNA". It matches the Rfam family "Bacterial small subunit ribosomal RNA", at positions 524 to 776 of the family's 1533-position model. The record is from RNAcentral.
UACGUAGGCAGCGAGCGUUGUUCGGAGUUACUGGGCGUAAAGAGUGCGUAGGCGGUUUUCUAAGUUUGGUGUGAAAUCUCCCGGCUCAACUGGGAGGGUGCGCCGAAAACUGCAAGGCUGGAGUAUGGGAGAGGUAGGCGGAAUUCCUGGUGUAGCGGUGAAAUGCGUAGAUAUCAGGAGGAACACCUGUGGUGUAGACGGCUUACUGGACCAUGACUGACGCUGAGGCACGAAAGCGUGGGGAGCAAACAGG